UCCGACAGCCAUGCCACCCUGAACACGCCCAAUCUUGUCUGAUCUCAGAAGCUAAGCAGGGUCGGACCUGGUUAGUACUUGGAUGGGAGACCACCUAGAAAGACCAGCUGCUGUAGGCU
RNAcentral lists this ribosomal RNA (119 nucleotides) under Pteropus alecto (black flying fox). The record is from RNAcentral. Lineage: Eukaryota; Metazoa; Chordata; Mammalia; Chiroptera; Pteropodidae.